GCCCCUGGCCCCUGUCAUGUAAUGGGGAAGACAGGCAUUAAGCUGAGAUCAGGAAUAGAUAUGGACACUGAAGGCAACACAGUGGCCAUGCAGGCCCUAAGGAUGGUGGUCAGGGGAACCGUCUUUGAGGGUGAUCUGUGGGGUCAGGGGAAGCUAUUCUAGGCAGAAGGGAUGGUGUACUUAAGGUGGGAGGAAUGUUUUGUGAUGAUUUGAAAGGUGUCCAGUGUGGCUGCACAAGUGAUGUGAAGAAGCCAUUGAUGAGGUUUAAAUAGGAGACUGACCCAGCUGCGUUUGUGGUCUUUAUAAAAUAAUUCUGGAUUGGAGGAAUCAAGCGAGGAAGGAAGGAGGGAAACCUGGCAGGGAGCUGCCGGAAUAAUUGGGUGUCAAUUAGCCCUACUUAACAGAUUUGAAGAUGGAGGCUCAGAGGGGCUAAGUAACUAGCUCAAGACUGCACAGUUAGAAAAACAGCAGAGUCAGGACUUGAACUCAGCACUAGUUUCGGCCAGUGGCUCUUCCAGUGGAAAGGAGUAAGAAGAAACAGAGAACAGGAUGGAAGAGAAGAGAAAUAGGAGAAUGAAGUGACCCAGGUAGGAGCCUGUCGUGCUCUGCCUGCCUGCAGAACAAAGUUCAAACUCCUUCACCUGGUACGCAAAGGUCUCCUUGAUCCAGCUUCUCUUCUGUUAACCCAUUCCUGGAUCCCCUGCAUUCUAUGCUCUGAAAGGGAAAAUGAUGUCAGAUUCAGGCCUGGGUUCUUAGUACCAGGCAUGGCCCAGGAAGGUGUUGAUGAAAAUUGAUGAACUGAGUUUCUUGAAAUUGUCCUUCACUUUCCUGCCUCCAGGCCUUUACCCACAAUGCUUCCUCCCCAAAGGGAAUGCCCUUUCUCUUGCUCAUGGACAUUCUAGAGCUAACUAGCCCCAUUGGCAAGGACUGCAUCUAGAAUCUUUGUAUCCCUCACAAAUCAGGUACGUGGGACGUGG
RNAcentral lists this long non-coding RNA (977 nucleotides) under Pan troglodytes (chimpanzee). RNAcentral's name for it is "long non-coding RNA NONPTRT000169". The record is from RNAcentral. Lineage: Eukaryota; Metazoa; Chordata; Mammalia; Primates; Hominidae.